AUGGCGGCCAUGGCGACCGCCCUGCUGGUGGUCUGCCUCCUCCUCCUCGCGCUCCUCCUCUUCCUCACGGUGCUCUUUUGUUACAGAGCCGGCCAGAGGAGGAGGAGUCAUCGUGGGUCGCGAGGGGGCGCCAUGUGGUCGGCGGGCGGGACCACCGGGUUUGCCGCCGUCGUCCCAGAACGCGGACCGCAAGGCCGUGCCUCCCGGGCCCCCCAGGCUGCUGUACCACGAACGACCUCAACAGUCCCCGGGCCCGGGGGCGCUGUGGAUCCGUCUGGAGGAGGGCGGCGAGGGCUUUGAUACACGUGGGACACACUACAUGGUACCAAAGUCAAGAUACUUUUUAACAGAAAUACAAGUAAAUAAUUAGCUGAGGGGACAAAGGCAAAGGCAGCCAUAACGAACGAGUGUGGUUUGCAGCAACUGGAAACCAGCCAAUGACUCUUUACACUUAACCCAUGCAAGGAGAAAGAAAGAAAGAAAGAAACCCAUUCGAUUUUUUUUAUGUAUUAUCACAACUAUAACGGGUGGAAUGCAUUCUACAUCGAUGACCCUUGACCUGUCAUAAGCAGCUGCAGAAUGACCGUAAACUGCAUAUUUGAUAAUGUUUCACUUUGACACUGGAGAGAAAAUUAUGUCUACGCCAAAGUCAAACUAGGUGAUAGUGUAUAUAUAGUGAACUCAGGCCCCAAGUAACAGGAUUUGUACGAUCAUUUGGCGGAUGCUUUAUCCAAAGCCUUAAUAAUGUAACUGCAAUAAUUACAGAUACGUGAAUGACUGAAACAUUCGAUUUAAGAUGCAUCUGUUCUAAGCCGGGGCGGCACCAGAACACUAUUUUUUCUUGACUCUGAAUAGUAAAUAAAAAUCAAUAUCAUUUUCCCUUUCAACAAUGUCUGUUCAAAGAGACCAAGUCAGACACCAGGACAGAAGUCUACUGUUCCUCUGAACACCGUAGAACAAACAAUUAAUUUAUACACAAGUGGUUUGUUGUGAUCACACUACAUUGUGACAAAGUCAAGAUACAUUUCAACAGAAAAAUAAUUAGCUGAGGAGGCAAAGUUAGCAAAUGCAGCCCUAAAUAGAGAACUAGUGUGGUUUGCAGCAACUGAAAUCCAGCCAAUGUCUGUCAUGACUCUUUACUGCCUAACCUCAGCCUCCAACACAACAACUGUGGGAACAUUGAAAAAAAAUAAUGCAACAAGAAAAGCAUCUAUGUACAGCUCUUUCAGUGACCAGGGAAGUCUGCAUGUCAUCAUCUUUUAAGGAGCACCUUGCAGCCAAUCACAGCUCUUAUCGAAUGGCAGAACUCGACAAGUAUGAAUCAAAACAAACAACGUCUGUUGGCAUUAAGAUAUAGAAAAAUAGUCA
Molecule: long non-coding RNA, 1368 nt
Filed under: Gadus morhua (Atlantic cod)
Lineage: Eukaryota; Metazoa; Chordata; Actinopteri; Gadiformes; Gadidae
Description: lncRNA (ENSGMOG00000028814.1)
Source: RNAcentral